AAACAAAAAAAACACUGUUUGCAGGGCUAUUAGGUGCUGAAUGAGUACUCCACUGGAUUAGAAAGAUCAGAAGCCCUGGAUUUCACAACAGGUCCAGUCCCAAGUAGUCGUGACUUUCGGACUGGUGAUGACUCAGCUCAGCUGGAGGACCCUUGAAAGUCGCGCUGAGCUUCGUGGUCAGCCCACAAUAAAACUGAGACUAAGGAAAAGGGAGAGCUUGCUUUUGGUGGUGAGCCUAAGGCACCUGCUCUAGCACGGACUGCAAAAAGAGGCUUGUCUGGCGCUGCCAAGCACUCACCCGGCUAAUUAAAAAGUAGUAUUUUA
This is a non-coding RNA of Callithrix jacchus (white-tufted-ear marmoset), 324 nucleotides long. The record is from RefSeq and is a predicted model, not a curated record. Lineage: Eukaryota; Metazoa; Chordata; Mammalia; Primates; Cebidae.